Molecule: transfer RNA, 76 nt
Filed under: Candidatus Zambryskibacteria bacterium RIFCSPLOWO2_02_FULL_44_12b
Lineage: Bacteria; Candidatus Zambryskiibacteriota
Description: tRNA-Phe
Rfam family: tRNA
About the family: Transfer RNA (tRNA) molecules are approximately 80 nucleotides in length. Their secondary structure includes four short double-helical elements and three loops (D, anti-codon, and T loops).
Source: RNAcentral
GCCUAGGUAGCUCAGUUGGCAGAGCACUUCCCUGAAGAGGAAGGGGCCGCCGGUUAGAGACCGGCCCUAGGCACCA